This is a non-coding RNA of Pelobates cultripes (western spadefoot toad), 236 nucleotides long. NCBI's taxonomy places the organism in Eukaryota, Metazoa, Chordata, Amphibia, Anura, Pelobatidae. The record is from the annotation of a GenBank genome assembly.
GUUAGGUGCAAUGGUGCUGAGGAUCUUUACAUAUAGAUAAUAAUGAGCACAGUGCUGUAUAUAAUGAUACGGAGUAUGUUUAUAUACAGAUCACAGUUAACACACUAUAUAGAAAUAUGCUGAGCAUUUUUACAUGAUGAUAGCAUGUUGCAUUGUGCAAUCAGAGCGGGAAGAGAUGAUGUGGGGUAAUGUGGCAACAUCUUGCCAGUUAAAAUGGAAUAUAACUAUCCUUCCAG